This 507-nucleotide ribosomal RNA is filed under the name uncultured bacterium. RNAcentral's name for it is "partial 16S ribosomal RNA". It matches the Rfam family "Bacterial small subunit ribosomal RNA", at positions 28 to 507 of the family's 1533-position model. The record is from RNAcentral.
GACGAACGCUGGCGGCGUGCCUAAUACAUGCAAGUCGAACGCAUUUUCUUUCACCGUAGCUUGCUACACCGAAAGAAAAUGAGUGGCGAACGGGUGAGUAACACGUGGGUAACCUGCCCAUCAGCGGGGGAUAACACUUGGAAACAGGUGCUAAUACCGCAUAAUUCCAUUUACCGCAUGGUAGAUGGAUGAAAGGCGCUUUUGCGUCACUGAUGGAUGGACCCGCGGUGCAUUAGCUAGUUGGUGGGGUAACGGCCUACCAAGGCUGCGAUGCAUAGCCGACCUGAGAGGGUGAUCGGCCACACUGGGACUGAGACACGGCCCAGACUCCUACGGGAGGCAGCAGUAGGGAAUCUUCGGCAAUGGACGCAAGUCUGACCGAGCAACGCCGCGUGAGUGAAGAAGGUUUUCGGAUCGUAAAACUCUGUUGUUAGAGAAGAACAAGGACGAGAGUGGAAAGUUCAUCCCUUGACGGUAUCUAACCAGAAAGCCACGGCUAACUACGUG